RNAcentral lists this long non-coding RNA (320 nucleotides) under Carica papaya (papaya). RNAcentral's name for it is "long non-coding RNA (CPAP_LNC004107)". The record is from RNAcentral. Lineage: Eukaryota; Viridiplantae; Streptophyta; Magnoliopsida; Brassicales; Caricaceae.
AGCAACGAAUCAUGAGAUUCUGAAGCACAUCAAUAAGUUUACCUCCGAGGAAGUCCAUGACUUUAGAAUAAUUGAUGAUGGAUUGUACAGAUUUUGAGAUCGAAUAUGGGUACCUAAGAACAUCUGACCUUAGAUCAGAUAUUCUGAAGGAGGCUCCCACACCAAGUUAUCCAUCCACCUUGGAAGUAUAAAAAUGUAUCAAGAUCUAAGACGCCAUUACUGGUGAUCUAGUAUGGAGAAAGAUAUUAUUGAGUAUGUCCCUCGUUGUCUUGCUUGAUAUGGGAUUAAGGAAGAGCAUUACAGGCCUGGUGGUCGUUUGU